This 497-nucleotide ribosomal RNA is filed under the name uncultured bacterium. Its description in RNAcentral is "partial 16S ribosomal RNA". It matches the Rfam family "Bacterial small subunit ribosomal RNA", at positions 28 to 507 of the family's 1533-position model. The record is from RNAcentral.
GAUGAACGCUGGCGGCGUGCCUAAUACAUGCAAGUCGAGCGAACGGACGAGAAGCUUGCUUCUCUGAUGUUAGCGGCGGACGGGUGAGUAACACGUGGAUAACCUACCUAUAAGACUGGGAUAACUUCGGGAAACCGGAGCUAAUACCGGAUGAUAUUUUGAACCGCAUGGUUCAAAAGUGAAAGACGGUCUUGCUGUCACUUAUAGAUGGAUCCGCGCUGCAUUAGCUAGUUGGUAAGGUAACGGCUUACCAAGGCAACGAUGCAUAGCCGACCUGAGAGGGGGAUCGCCCCCACUGGAAGUGGAACACCGUCCCGACUCCUGAGGGAGGGCCCAGUGGGGGAUGUUCCGCAAUGGGGGGAAACCCGGCAGAGGGAACGCGCGUGGGAGGAGGAAGGGUUUCGGGCGGAAAAACCUUUUUUUGGGGGAAAAAAGAUUUUGAAAGUAACGUGGCACGUUUGAAGGGACCCAAUAAAGAAGCCCCGGCUAACUACGUG